CUGCUGCCUCCCGUAGGAGUUUGGGCCGUGUCUCAGUCCCAAUGUGGCCGUUCACCCUCUCAGGCCGGCUACUGAUCGUCGGUUUGGUGGGCCGUUACCCCGCCAACUGCCUAAUCAGACGCGGAUCCAUCUCACACCACCUCAGUUUUUCACACUGUCCCAUGCGAGACUGUGCGCUUAUGCGGUAUUAGCAGUCAUUUCUAACUGUUAUCCCCCUGUGUGAGGCAGGUUAUCCACGCGUUACU
This 245-nucleotide ribosomal RNA is filed under the name uncultured bacterium. Its description in RNAcentral is "partial 16S ribosomal RNA". The record is from RNAcentral.